This 82-nucleotide transfer RNA is filed under the name Aquamicrobium lusatiense. It matches the Rfam family "tRNA". From Rfam's summary of the family: Transfer RNA (tRNA) molecules are approximately 80 nucleotides in length. Their secondary structure includes four short double-helical elements and three loops (D, anti-codon, and T loops). Further hydrogen bonds mediate the characteristic L-shaped molecular structure. tRNAs have two regions of fundamental functional importance: the anti-codon, which is responsible for specific mRNA codon recognition, and the 3' end, to which the tRNAs corresponding amino acid is attached (by aminoacyl-tRNA synthetases). tRNAs cope with the degeneracy of the genetic code in two manners: having more than one tRNA (with a specific anti-codon) for a particular amino acid; and 'wobble' base-pairing, i.e. permitting non-standard base-pairing at the 3rd anti-codon position. RNAcentral also lists the same sequence under 2 other names. The record is from Rfam by way of RNAcentral. Lineage: Bacteria; Pseudomonadati; Pseudomonadota; Alphaproteobacteria; Hyphomicrobiales; Phyllobacteriaceae.
GCGGAUGUGGCGGAACUGGUAGACGCCCCGGAUUUAGGUUCCGGUGCCGAAAGGCGUGGGGGUUCGAGUCCCUUCAUCCGCA